RNAcentral lists this ribosomal RNA (276 nucleotides) under uncultured prokaryote. RNAcentral's name for it is "partial 16S ribosomal RNA". It matches the Rfam family "Bacterial small subunit ribosomal RNA", at positions 524 to 798 of the family's 1533-position model. The record is from RNAcentral.
UACGUAGGGUCCGAGCGUUGUCCGGAAUUAUUGGGCGUAAAGAGCUCGUAGGCGGCCUGUCGCGUCUGCUGUGAAAGUCCGGGGCUUAACUUCGGGUGUGCAGUGGAUACGGGCAGGCUUGAGGUAGGUAGGGGAGACUGGAAUUCCUGGUGUAGCGGUGAAAUGCGCAGAUAUCAGGAGGAACACCGGUGGCGAAGGCGGGUCUCUGGGCCUUACCUGACGCUGAGGAGCGAAAGCGUGGGGAGCGAACAGGGAUUAGAUACCCGCGUAGUCCCU